GCCUGGCUGGCUCAGUCAGUGGAGCAUGUGACUCUUGAUCUCAGGGGUUGUGAGUUCAAGUCCCACAUUGGGCA
RNAcentral lists this transfer RNA (74 nucleotides) under Ailuropoda melanoleuca (giant panda). It matches the Rfam family "tRNA". Rfam says of the family: Transfer RNA (tRNA) molecules are approximately 80 nucleotides in length. Their secondary structure includes four short double-helical elements and three loops (D, anti-codon, and T loops). Further hydrogen bonds mediate the characteristic L-shaped molecular structure. tRNAs have two regions of fundamental functional importance: the anti-codon, which is responsible for specific mRNA codon recognition, and the 3' end, to which the tRNAs corresponding amino acid is attached (by aminoacyl-tRNA synthetases). tRNAs cope with the degeneracy of the genetic code in two manners: having more than one tRNA (with a specific anti-codon) for a particular amino acid; and 'wobble' base-pairing, i.e. permitting non-standard base-pairing at the 3rd anti-codon position. The record is from Rfam by way of RNAcentral. Lineage: Eukaryota; Metazoa; Chordata; Mammalia; Carnivora; Ursidae.